GGAGAUAGCAAGAGUGUGAUUAAAUUAACUGAUAACCACCGAAACUUAAUUCUAACACUAAGAGUACCUUUCCACCUCGCCUCCCGUAAUCCCAUUAAUCCUCCUCUUCUGCGUUUUCUUUUUGGCUUUUGUUUCUUAUCUCUUUUUCAAUUCUUGUUACUCACACCAUUUGCACUUUAACAGUUUCCAUUUCUUUGUCUGCGCAUUGAAACGUACGUCCCUCUCUAGCUAUGAGAUCUCAAAAUAGCUCCUGCCGCUGACCACCGACAAAUCUUAAACUGGGUUUCAAAGAUCUGAGGGAAACUCGCUGAUCUCUUCAAUUUCUGCCGGUUUCUCUACUUGGGUUUUUUCUGUAAUUUGCUAUGAGCUGGAGAUAUAAGGCCGGUUUAUUCUUGAUAGCUGCUGUUGUUAUUAUAUGGGUUACCUCUGCAGAAGUCACCCAGGGUAUCUUUACAGACUACAAGCAGCCAUUUGCAGUAACAUAUCUUGGAGCAUCUCUGAUGGUAGUUUACCUCCCAAUAGCAUUUCUUAAAGACUGGAUAUGUAAGAUACUAAAGCAUCGCUCUUCUAAAAGUGGUAAAGAUGCAGGAAGCAUAAAUGAGUCUUCCGAUGGAUUUAACUCUCCUCUAAGCCGGAAAAUUUUUGAAAUUGAACUUCAGGGAACUUUGACCAGAAAAGACAGUGAGGCAGACCUUUCUCCUCAAGCAGAGGGAAAGCCUUUGAUUCCUAGACACAAAGAUGAUUUAAAUGUGUUGAAACAUGAAAAAGAGCUUACACCUAGAGAAAUUGCCAUCUAUGGUUUUUAUAUUGCCCCGAUCUGGUUUAUAACAGAGGUUUGUUUAUUCAGGGCUAGUUUUUCCAUUUUCAAUUAUGUGAUACAUAAAGAUCAUUUUAGUCCAUACAUUAGUCGGAAAGCCCCUUUGUAGAAAUGUAUGUUAAAAGAAAAAUUUCCCCUCCACAAUCUAUGUGCAUCCAUAUUGUAGUGUUGCCCUUAGAAAUUUCAAUGUCCUUCAGCCAAUCAUUCCUCUGAACCUAUUAGAUGCUCUUUACACAUUGAUAGAUGUGGUGUAUACAUGCAAAG
RNAcentral lists this unclassified non-coding RNA (1081 nucleotides) under Hevea brasiliensis (rubber tree). Lineage: Eukaryota; Viridiplantae; Streptophyta; Magnoliopsida; Malpighiales; Euphorbiaceae. The record is from RNAcentral.